GUAGGUGGCAAGCGUUGUCCGGAAUUAUUGGGGCGUAAAGCGCGCGCAGGCGGUUCGUUUAAGUCUGAUGUGAAAGCCCACGGCUCAACCGUGAGGGUCAUUGGAAACUGGAGAACUUGAGUACAGAAGAGGAAAGCGGAAUUCCACGUGUAGCGGUGAAAUGCGUAGAGAUGUGGAGGAACACCAGUGGCGAAGGCGGCUUUCUGGUCUGUAACUGACGCUGAGGCGCGAAAGCGUGGGGAGCAAACAGGAUUAGAUACCCUGGCAGUCCACGCCGUAAACGAUGAGUGCUAAGUGUUAGGGGGUUUCCGCCCCUUAGUGCUGCAGCUAACGCAUUAAGCACUCCGCCUGGGGAGUACGGCCGCAAGGCUG
RNAcentral lists this ribosomal RNA (372 nucleotides) under uncultured organism. RNAcentral describes it as "partial 16S ribosomal RNA". It matches the Rfam family "Bacterial small subunit ribosomal RNA", at positions 527 to 896 of the family's 1533-position model. The record is from RNAcentral.